AUACGGAGGAUCCGAGCGUUAUCCGGAUUUAUUGGGUUUAAAGGGUGCGCAGGCGGGAGAUUAAGUCGGCGGUGAAAUUUUGCAGCUCAACUGUAAAAGUGCCUUCGAAACUGGUUUCCUUGAGUGUAGAUGAAGUAGGCGGAAUUUGGGGUGUAGCGGUGAAAUGCAUAGAUAUCACGAGGAACGCCGAUUGCGCAGGCAGCUUACUAAACUACUACUGACGCUCAGGCACGAAGGCGUGGGGAUCAAACAGGAUUAGAUACCCUGGUAGUCCACGCAGUAAACGAUGAUUACUAGCUGUUUGCGAUACAAUGUAAGCGGCUGAGCGAAAGCGUUAAGUAAUCCACCUGGGGAGUACGUUCGCAAGAAUGAAACUCAAAUGAAUUGACGGGG
RNAcentral lists this ribosomal RNA (393 nucleotides) under uncultured bacterium. RNAcentral describes it as "partial 16S ribosomal RNA". It matches the Rfam family "Bacterial small subunit ribosomal RNA", at positions 523 to 918 of the family's 1533-position model. The record is from RNAcentral.